This is a long non-coding RNA of Chinchilla lanigera (long-tailed chinchilla), 705 nucleotides long. RefSeq lists it as uncharacterized. NCBI's taxonomy places the organism in Eukaryota, Metazoa, Chordata, Mammalia, Rodentia, Chinchillidae. The transcript is spliced from 2 exons. The record is from RefSeq and is a predicted model, not a curated record.
AUUAGGAUGCCCCAAUCCCUGGCCACCUCAUGGCCUUGAGCAGGAGUGUGAGAUGUAUAAAAGGUGGGCCGGCUGGCAUCUCGCAAACUCCUUGACUUCUCCACGCUCUGGUCCCUGGAGAACUGCGUUGCAGGUCUAACCCAGAAUGUCUCAGCAAAAACAGAAGCAGUGCUGCCCCCCACCUCAGCAGUGCUGCCCCCCACCUCAGCAGUGUUGCCCCCCACCCCAGCAGUGCUGCCCCCCACCGAAGCAGUGCUGCCCCCCAGCUCAGCAGACCAAACAGCCUUGCCAGCCUCCACCCAAGUGCCAACAGAAGUGCCCACCUCCUCAGCAGUGCCAGAAGUCCAAGCAGAAGUGAGACUGAGACAUGUCACCAGAGGCAAGUCCCAGAGAAGCAACAAGAAGUCCCCUAAUCAGCAUCCUGUACCCCUCCUCCAUCAGAAGCAGGAGCAGCUCAUCUUGCUUCUGGAUGCAGCCGCUCUUCACUCUGUGAGGAGGCAGCACCAGAACCAUGCUUUCCUCCUUCCCUGCCUCUUCUUAAUUAGCAGCUGCAGUUUCCAUCUCAGACAAGGAUCUGGCUCUAAAGUGUCUACUCAUCUUCAGUGACAUGCAUCUACAUUGCCCUGCUGGAAACUUGGGCACCACACCCAAACACUCUUUCCCAUCACCGUCUCCAAAUCAUUACAGUAAAUUCCUCUGGCAUGA